This is an RNA transcript of Camponotus floridanus (Florida carpenter ant), 2453 nucleotides long. RefSeq lists it as uncharacterized. NCBI's taxonomy places the organism in Eukaryota, Metazoa, Arthropoda, Insecta, Hymenoptera, Formicidae. The transcript is spliced from 5 exons. The record is from RefSeq and is a predicted model, not a curated record.
CACAAAUUAAUUAAAAUAAAUGAUAAAUCACAAACUAAAACUGCAUUCCAGUCAGCAAUGCAAAAAGGAAAUAAAAAUGAAAUAAAUAUUGAACAAUUUGCACAUACCGAAAAUCAGUGUACUGCAGCAUUUCCAACAGAAAUAGAUGAGGAAGAAUCUAUAAGAUAUAUUGAAACGCUCGUCGAUGAUGAUUUUCAAUUACAUAAAUGUAACAUAGGAUUUGACGAUAAAGUUUCAUCUGUGACUGAAGAGUUUGCACUUGAUGCCACUAAACAAUGGGUUCUGAAAUAUAGACAUUUAUUAAGCCAACGGGCCAUUAACGAUAUGUUGCAAAUUUUACGAGUGCCAUAUCCAAAGUUUCCUGCAGACUCGCGUAUUCUUUUAAAAACACCAAAUUCGUGCCCCUAUGAAAUAAUUAAUAUGCCCCCCGGUUUCUACUGUCACAUCGGUAUAGAGAAUACAAUUCGUAGACUCAUCAAUGACAGUAUUAAUAUGCACAAUUUCUUAUUUCAAAAUUCAGAACCAGUGUUACCCAUUAGUAUAAACAUAGACGGAUUACCUAUUUCAAACAGUUCAAAAAGUCAAUUUUGGCCAAUUUUGAUUUCUCUAGAUGUAGAUUCAGUUAGUCAAAAUGCGUCAAAACCUUUUGUAGCUGGAAUUUACCACGGGCACACAAAACCAGCUGAUGUUAAUCAAUUUUUAAGUGAAUUUAUUACAGAAUUUAAACAUUUGCAAGAUAAUGGAUUUAACAUAUGCAAUAAAACUGUUAAAAUAAAGGCCAGUAAAUUACUUUGCGAUGCUCCUGCUAAAUCAUUCGUUUUAUGUACGAAAGGUCACACGGGAUUUUACAGUUGCACAAAAUGUACUCAAAGUGGUACCUUUAUUAAUAACCGACUAGCUUUCCCAGAUAUCAAUGUAGACUUACGAACUGAUGCAAGUUUUAAAAACAAAUUAGAUGAUGAAUUUCAUAAAGGUACAACUCCUCUUGAAAAUAUUAACAUCGGGUUAGUUUCGCAAAUACCCCUUGAUGGUAUGCAUCUGGUAUUUCUCGGUGUAAUGAAAAAACUGAUAACGUUUUGGGUACGAGGACCAAAAAACAUUCGCUUCACUGACGAUGAGAAAAAAGCCAUUAACGAUCAAAUAUUAUUUUUAAAGAAUUAUGUACCUAAAGAUUUUGGCCGCUUACCAAGAAGUUUAGAUGACAUAGAGUACUUUAAAGCUGCUGAACUAAGACAAUUGUUGUUGUACAUUGGACCGAUCGUUUUACAAAAUAUGAGAAACAAGAACAUGUAUACACAUUUUAUGACAUUAUCAUGCGCUAUUCGCAUUUUAUGUAGUCCUGCAUUAUAUUCAGUUUAUAAUGAUUAUGCUUUGCAACUUAUUCAGUAUUUUGUUCAAAAAUAUUCAGUUCUUUAUGGUCCUGAGUUCAUCAAUCACAACGUACACGGCCUCAUUCAUUUACCUGCAGACUGCUUGUUGCACGGUCCACUUGAUACAUUUAGUUGUUUCAAAUAUGAAAAUUUUCUGUACGAAAUAAAACGAAAAAUUAAAACAACAAAACACUCCUUACAACAAACUUGUAACAGACUAAAGGAAGAAGAGCAGAAAAAGAAACAGGACGACAAGACUUAUCCGAUUUUACAUCAACAAAGUAAAGUGCAAAUUAUUGAUAAGGAAAGAUGUAUAUUCUACAAAAAAGUGGAUAUUGGAAAGUAUGAAUUCAGCACAGAAAAUAAAGAAAAUUGCGUCAUGCUUAGAGACAAGGCUGUACUAUGCGUAGACGGUAUUUUCCAAAACACUAACACACUGGAAAUGUUCAUAACGGGAAGAAAGUUUACAGAAUCAACAACGUUUUUUAAGUCACCCUGUUCUUCUGAACUAUUUAAUGUAGAACAGUCGAAUUUGCGGAGAAUUUCGAAGAAUCGACUGCAGUAGAAGUCGUCCCGACAACAUGGGUAACAAUUUUAAACAACGAAAUUACAUGCAAAUGGCCUGGGAAAAACAUCCGCAGGGCAAUCAACAAACGAACAGCCCCAUUAAGUUCUUGGAAAACUUGGAAUAUAAGAAACAUCUUUUUCCAAACUGAUGAAUAUCAGACUGCCGUAGAUUUCGCAAAAAGAAAAACAAAAACUGAUACAGAUACGUCAGUGCCAGAAACUGGCCGAAGCAAAAGGAGAGUAAAAAAGAAGAGCCAAAAUGAUUACACAAGCGACUUCAGCGAUAAUUCCCAAAAUCAUAGAAUGACACCACCUCCGAUGCUGUCUACCGUAUUUGAUCCUGCAAUCGAACGUAGACAAUCAAGUGAAGUUCUACAGACUACAAGAAAUCUGCCAGCAGAUAUUGACAACAUUUUUCCAACCGUCAAUAAAAAAAUAAAUAGUAAUAGGUGAUAUAGACUCAAACAAUAACGAUAAUAAAGAAAAUCAGAUAGAUCAAACGGAUGAUAUAGGGGU